Molecule: ribosomal RNA, 274 nt
Filed under: uncultured bacterium
Lineage: Bacteria
Description: partial 16S ribosomal RNA
Rfam family: Bacterial small subunit ribosomal RNA
Source: RNAcentral
AUACGGAGGGGGCUAGCGUUGUUCGGAAUUACUGGGCGUAAAGCGCGCGUAGGCGGGUUGGCAAGUUGAAGGUGAAAUCCCAGGGCUCAACCCUGGAACUGCCUCCAAAACUGCCAGUCUUGAGUUCGGAAGAGGUGAGUGGAAUUCCUAGUGUAGAGGUGAAAUUCGUAGAUAUAAGGAAGAACACCAGUGGCGAAGGCGACUCACUGGUCCGAUACUGACGCUGAGGUGCGAAAGCGUGGGGAGCAAACAGGAUUAGAAACCCGAGUAGUCC